This is a long non-coding RNA of Peromyscus maniculatus bairdii (prairie deer mouse), 2934 nucleotides long. RefSeq lists it as uncharacterized. Lineage: Eukaryota; Metazoa; Chordata; Mammalia; Rodentia; Cricetidae. The record is from RefSeq and is a predicted model, not a curated record.
UUCUGAUAGGCUCAUAUGCUGGAACACUUGAUCCUCUGGUGGAGCUUGGGGAGGUAAUGGAACCUUUAGGAGGUACAGCCUUGCUGGAGGAAGUAAGUCCCUGGAGGCGGGCUUUGAGGGUUCAUAUCCAGCCUCACUUCUGAUCCUGCCAUGAGGCUAUGUCUUCCCUGCUGUUAAGAACUCUAACCCUCUGGAGCCAGAAGCCAAAAUAAACCCUUUCUUCCUUAGUUGUUUUGGUCAUGAUGUUUUACACAAUAAAAUCUGAUGCACUUGGUAUCCUCACAGGUCUGUGCUCUCCUGUUUCCCAGGAGCUGUUGGUGUUCCAUCUCAGCACAAGUCCUCUGUAUCCUAUGUUUGGCCAGGAGGCAGACUGCAAGGUCGGCGUUUGGGAGAUGCACUGAGAAUCUGUGUUCAGUGCCUGGAAGCUCCAUCUCCUCCUCCCUCUUCCUCAAGUUAGAUCAUGCCCUCUUGCACUGCUGUGAGAGACAGACAGACAGACAGACAGGCAGGCAGACAGGCAGGCAGGCAGGCAGGCAGGCAGGCUCAGGAGUCCCAGGACAUGAAACUCAUCGGCAUCUCUGGAGGAGAACUACCAUAGGAUGUGUGGCCUUUUCUGAAGCACAGAAUAUUCAUUGUAUUGACGUUGCUGGUGACAGACGAUGAUAACACUAAGUCUUCGAAUGGGAUGCUGAGGAGCCAGAGAGGCUCUGAUGAAAUGCUCACCUUCAGCAGUUCUGCUGGCUUGGGGACAGAUAAUCGGGAAGGCACUAGGGGGUCUACUUUGCUAGUGCCUUUCUGGGACUGAUUGGUACAGAGCUGAAACCCUGGGGCCCGUUCUCUGUUAUCAUUGAAGUGAUCCAAAGAUCACUUCCUCUCCUCUGCUCAUUCAGAUCUGGGCAUCUGAAAAAUAGUGAGUCAGAGGCAUGGUGGCUGUAAUUCUGCUCCUGAUGGUCUGUGCACAUGGGGAGCUACAGAUGUCCCCAGAAUCCAAUACUCACUUGUAUUUAUGUAACGCCAAUAGUCAACUCCACCAGCCUGUACAAAAUGAGGCUACAUAGGUCCUAUUUAUAGCAACAGCAUUACCAGCUAGAAAUUGAUCAUCCGCAGUGUCUGUCUACUUGUUAUUUCUGGAAUAUCUGAGGACUGACCCCACAAACAAGGGUAAGGAUGUGGUCACCAUGCCUGCAUCAUUUCUGACCUCUCUGCUGUGCGUCCUGUGUGGCGCCUCCAUUUCCAGCUGCUUCCACAGGGACCAGAGCCAGAAGCCUGGGCAGGGCAAGACAGCUCUUCUCCUAAUCCUGAGGAGCCCAGAUACCCGGGCCACUGAGCAACCCCACCAGGCCCCAUGCCGAAUACUCUGCUUGAGUGUUAACUUGGUUCUCCUUGUCAGCUCGGAAAUUGUGAGCCCUCAAGAGAGAUAGUGUGUGUGAGCAGCUUCCGGCCUUGGUGUCUCUAACUGUGGAAGCUUGAAGCCUAGCCCAGGGAAGGGUGGACAAAGGACGGAGGGUGAUGCUUCUGUAUCUAGCCGGACUCAAGACGUAACUGAGGGACGCCCACUGCAAAUCAGCUUGAACUAAAGUGGCAUUUGUUUGGCAGUGAACUAAGAAGUCACAUGUAGCAGGUGACCAGGAAGGAAGAGCUGGAGGAAGCGGGCAGGAGGGGUGGGUAUCACCGAGGGACCCACUCCUCUGCACCCACUCCUACCUCCCUCUCCCACUCCCUUUCUCUCUCCACUCCUUCCCCUUGUCCCCUCUGCAGCUCCUUUCCCUCUAGUUCAUUGGCAGACAGCUCCUCUCCACACGCCAGGGGAACUUGUGCACCCUGUGGUCACAUGCAUGUGUGAAACUCCAUGUUGUCUUGCUUUGGUCAGCUCUUGACAGUGUGGGGGGACUGUGCCUUUGGUCGGCUGUGCUCAUCAGGAGGACUGUGCCUUUGGUCGGCUGUGCUCAUCGGGAGGACUGUGCCUUGGGUCGGCUGUGCUCAUCAGGAGGACUGUGCCUUUGGUCGGCUGUGCUCAUCAGGAGGACUGUGCCUUGGGUCGGCUGUGCUGGCAUCAGGUACUGGCUUCUGUUGGCUGCGGUGAGAGCCGUUCACUGCCUGCAUAAGUACUUUCUCCCUGCAAGAGGCGAAGGGAAGAGCCAAACAGGAGAGGGAGGUGCGCCUGGCUGCACAGGGUGUCGCAGCCCUCCCAGCCUGCCACCUCCGUGUGAGCGAGCAACUUCCCUGGAGUCAGACCUGUCAGGGCCUGGAGGGAGGGAAGGAGGUAAUCUUCCACAGGCAGAGGAGUGCUGCCUGCUCAAGCGUGUGAGGUGAGUACUGAGAAGGCUCCUGUCAGCAGAGCCCCACCGCUAAUUGGGGGCUUUUGUCUGGGAAAUGUCAGUAGGACUUGAGUCCUAUUAGAAGCCAUUGAAAGUGACAAAUGACUGAAGACCUCCUCUGCUUACCCCAGAUCUGCAGCCUCCCCCUGGCCAGGGAGUGGUACUGUGCUGGGAAAGGCACAUCCUCCAGGCUACAGGGAGUGGGCAACAUAGCUCAGCCACAGCUGGACAGAAAUACAGCUGGGGAUGACCUGCGUUUUCUGCAAAUGCACGGAGCUUUUCAGGGUCUGAUGGUGCUAUCUGCAGGAGCUUCAGAAAUCUGGGGCCUGGGAGGCUCCCGGCAGGGCUCCACUGGGUGCCACUCUUUGGCUCCAGUCCAGUAUAUAGCGGAGACUAGCCUGGGUCCCUCCUGGGUCUUCCCUCUGGGUGGCAGUGACAGACACCAAAUGUACACAUUAAAGAGUCGUGAGACAGCACGAUGACGAGGGGGCCGAGCUGCAGGGACAGAUGUGCGGGUCCCGCCCUCGGCCCUUGUGCUCCCUUCCAGUUCUCUCCUCACUGUUCUGCUUGGUGUUCACUUGAACUGCUUCCCCCGCUGGCACUGGCUAAUUUAGCG